CGCCCUUAGAGUUUGAUCCUGGCUCAGGAUGAACGUUGGCGGUGUGCCUAAUACAUGCAAGUCGAACGGUGACGAUUUUGUAGCAAUACGAAUGAAAUCAUAGUGGCGAACGGGUGAGUAACGCGUUGGUGAUCUGCCUCGAAGUGUGGAAUAACUUCCCGAAAGGGUAGCUAAUACCGCAUAGUCUCUCAAGGUUUAGAAAAUUGAGAGUAAAGGAUUUAUUCGCUUCGAGAGGAGCCUGCGUCCCAUCAGCUAGUUGGUAGGGUAAUAGCCUACCAAGGCAAUGACGGGUAGGGGACCUGAGAGGGUGGCCCCCCACAUUGGGACUGAGACACGGCCCAGACUCCUACGGGAGGCAGCAGUGGGGAAUAUUGCGCAAUGGAGGGAACUCUGACGCAGCAACGCCGCGUGAAGGAUGAAGGUUUUCGGAUUGUAAACUUCUUUGAUCGGGGACGAAAAUGACGGUACCCGAGGAACAAGCCACGGCUAACUACGUGCCAGCAGCCGCGGUAAUACGUAGGUGGCAAGCGUUGUCCGGAAUUACUGGGUGUAAAGGGCGUGUAGGCGGGAAGGCAAGUCAGAUGUGAAAGCCCAUGGCUUAACUGUGGAACUGCAUCUGAAACUGUUUUUCUUGAGUACUGGAGAGGAAAGUAGAAUUCCUAGUGUAGCGGUGAAAUGCGUAGAGAUUAGGAGGAACACCAGUGGCGAAGGCGGCUUUCUGGACAGUAACUGACGCUGAGGCGCGAAAGCGUGGGGAGCAAACAGGAUUAGAUACCCUGGUAGUCCACGCUGUAAACGAAGGAUAAUAGGUGUGGGAGGGAUCGACCCCUCCCGUGCCGGAGUUAACACCAUAAGUAUCCCACCUGGGGAGUCGGGCCGCAAAGGUGAAACUCAAAGGAAUUGACGGGGGCCCGCACAAGCAGUGGAGUAUGUGGUUUAAUUCGAAGCAACGCGAAGAACCUUACCAGGGCUUGACAUACCAAUGACCGGGUUAGAGAUAACCCUUCCCCUCGGGACAUGUAUCGAGGUGCUGCAUGGUUGUCGUCAGCUCGUGCCGUGAGGUGUCGGCUUAAGUGCCAUAACGAGCGCAACCCUUGUCAUUAGUUGCCAUCAGGUCAAGCUGGGGACUUUAAUGAGACUGCCACCGUAAGGUGUGAGGAAGGGGGGGAUGACGUCAAAUCAGCACGGCCCUUAUGUCCGGGGCGACACACGUGUUACAAUGGGAGGUACAGAGGGCAGCUAUCCGGUGACGGAAUGCUAAUCUCCAAAACCUUUCUCAGUUCGGAUUGGAGUCUGCAACUCGACUCCAUGAAGGUGGAUUCGCUAGUAAUCGCGCAUCAGCCAUGGCGCGGUGAAUACGUUCCCGGGCCUUGCACACACCGCCCGUCAA
This 1390-nucleotide ribosomal RNA is filed under the name uncultured bacterium. RNAcentral's name for it is "bacterial SSU rRNA". It matches the Rfam family "Bacterial small subunit ribosomal RNA". The record is from RNAcentral.